This 253-nucleotide ribosomal RNA is filed under the name uncultured bacterium. RNAcentral describes it as "partial 16S ribosomal RNA". It matches the Rfam family "Bacterial small subunit ribosomal RNA", at positions 524 to 776 of the family's 1533-position model. The record is from RNAcentral.
GACAGAGGGUGCAAACGUUGCUCGGAAUUACUGGGCGUAAAGCGCGUGUAGGCGGACCAGCAAGUCGGACGUGAAAUCCCUGAGCUCAACUCAGGAACUGCAUCCGAAACUGCUGGUCUGGAGUGGUGGAGAGGGAAGCAGAAUUCCUGGUGUAGAGGUGAAAUUCGUAGAUAUCAGGAGGAACACCGGUGGCGAAGGCGGCUUCCUGGACACUUACUGACGCUGAGGCGCGAAAGCGUGGGGAGCAAACGGG